This 35-nucleotide non-coding RNA is filed under the name Mus musculus (house mouse). Lineage: Eukaryota; Metazoa; Chordata; Mammalia; Rodentia; Muridae. The record is from RNAcentral.
UGAGGCAGCACCCUUUGUGGGCCGGGGACAGCCGG